RNAcentral lists this transfer RNA (69 nucleotides) under Herpele squalostoma. Its description in RNAcentral is "tRNA-Trp". It matches the Rfam family "tRNA". From Rfam's summary of the family: Transfer RNA (tRNA) molecules are approximately 80 nucleotides in length. The record is from RNAcentral. Lineage: Eukaryota; Metazoa; Chordata; Amphibia; Gymnophiona; Herpelidae.
AGAAACUUAGGAUAAAUAGACCAAAAGCCUUCAAAGCUUUAAGAAGAAGUUAAACCCUUCUAGUUUUUA